CAGCAGCCGCGGGAAUACGUAGGUGGCAAGCGUUGUCCGGAAUUAUUGGGCGUAAAGGGCUCGCAGGCGGUUUCUUAAGUCUGAUGUGAAAGCCCCCGGCUCAACCGGGGAGGGUCAUUGGAAACUGGGAAACUUGAGUGCAGAAGAGGAGAGUGGAAUUCCACGUGUAGCGGUGAAGUGCGUAGAGAUGUGGAGGAACACCAGUGGCGAAGGCGACUCUCUGGUCUGUAACCGACGCUGAGGAGCGAAAGCGUGGGGAGCGAACAGGAUUAGAUACCCGAGUAGUCCCUGUCUCUUAUAA
Molecule: ribosomal RNA, 301 nt
Filed under: uncultured bacterium
Lineage: Bacteria
Description: partial 16S ribosomal RNA
Rfam family: Bacterial small subunit ribosomal RNA
Source: RNAcentral